CCUAGUCCCCGCGUCACACGUCUCCUCCCACGAUCCGUGCGCUGCCGACAAACACCCCUGCCGGGAUUCUGUGUCCACGGCAUUCUACGGCACCGCCUUCGCCCGUCUUCUUGAAACCAUUUUUUCCGAAACUGAAGCCAGCAUAUUUGCGCAGACCACAAGUAUCCGUCCUUUAGAAACAGGUGUUUACACGGCGACAAAUAGAAAACCCGCUGGGGCAUGCAUCUGUUGCGGCAGCUCGGGAAGGCCAACUUGUUGUUUGCUGCCAUACUCACUUGAGAGGGGUUGCCCGUUGUAGUACGGCCAGCGAACGUCUUGAAAAAAGAUGAAAGCACGCGGGAAUCCAAGAGUAUUACGCAGAUAGAAGGUUUUCUUUGUCAUCUUUGGGCGUGAAGGCUACAUCAUUCAGCUUAUUCCGCGCGGUCUGUGCGGCGGAUCGGGAGGCUGGUGUGAGGACCACUCGGGGGUACCGUUUGUUGUAGUUCAGCGGUGAUAGCCGUUGGAGGCGAGAAUGUCAACGGAAAAGGGUGGAUAAUCAAACUCGCUACUAACAAAACGAGAAUGCGGAAACGCUUCGAAUGGUGUUUUCCCCGUGUCGUGUUCUACUAGCCCAGUGGGGGGAGAGACUGCGGUACACAUUGGUGCGUUACCACUGCACAUCGGAAACAACGUGUACGCCACUUUAUCGAAACUAGGGUGGGCGGCAGUAGAAACUAGUAAUCACGAGAAUAAAAAAGUUCACUGACAAGGUGGUCGUACGAAUGGCACGCGUGCAAAGGAUGGGCACUUCGGGCUCAGCCAUGUAACAGUUCUUUCGUAGUUGCCGUGCUGGCGUUUUCCCGUGCCUAAGAAAGAGGUGGAUAUGUUUCCUUCUCGCACGAGGCUGCUGUUCAAAGUCAAGCCCAAACGUCAACGGGUUUUCUGUACAUAUCUAGCAAGUAGUAGAAUGGAGAGCGGCCACGGCGGCAUGAGACCAUCGUGGGUUGGAUACAUGACCGGUGUUGUAGGUUCGCUGGUAGAUGCAAGAAUACCAAUUCAGUUGGACAAGUAAGAACUCAUCAGGGGGUAGAUAAGACAACAUGUCCCGUCAUCGGCUGCUUCGUCUCACAGGCUUUGAAAGCUGGGGCGUUUGCAAUUAUGUACGUCGCCGUAGCACGCGUUCUCAGCGCUGAAGUGAAUGCGUGGCAGCCAAGCCACGGCAUCCUGGAUGAGUGACGACUGUGCCACCGUGUAAGUCUUCCAUUUUGAGUUGAUAAUUUCUCCUCUUGUGCACCCUGUGUGUUUAUUGCAUGUUUGGAUCCGUGUGUCCUUUGAUGUGCGAGAGAGGUACAACUCAAUUAACAGAAACAGAAGAACAUCUCUGGUCAUCUACUGAUGAUUGAUGGGAGGUUGUAGGACUAUAGCAGUGUUCGGAUAACGAGAGAAACAUGCGUUUUGAGGAAGACUGAUUGCCAGCUUGAGGAAGAAAUAGUCUAGGCGAUGAAGUUUGUUUUACCACAAAGGGGACAGCAUCUAUCAUACAGAAUGAAUUCCUCCGUCUUCUCUAGGUCGAAAGCGUGUGCGCAGCCCCCACAAACCACCAGUCUUCUGUUCCGUUGGCAAGGUCCAGUGUGGUGAAGGACAUUGUGGCAACUCGAUUCCUCUGAGGACGGCGGAGAGCCGUGUGCGUCCUGCCGUUCAUCAGUCACGCGAUUGCAACAGAAGAAGUAUUGCGUGGACAAAAGAGGAGAAACACGGGCAUGGUCGAGAAUGCAGACACAGUCGGAUGGGAGCUCGCGUAACAGUGCAGCUCCCACUCGAAGAGGAGCAAAGGAUCCUUCUGUGCCAGAAGUAGCAGUAACCCCGGCGGCCUUCAUGAACGAGAUGGUCGCUGCAUUGGGGUCCGGGGUUCUUGCCUGUAGGUUGUUGCCUUUCUUCCCGUCAGGCAAGCGGCCCUCUUCCGUCAGAAAAGAAGCAUGCUGUAGGUCGUGACCGCCUGACCGCAAAACGCAGGGUCACUGCGUAGAACUGUGGCCAUAACCGUGGCAGUUUUUGUGUCGAGAAGUGACAGCGCUACCAGUUGAAUGGCAAAAGAUACAAACGUGUCAGUUUCGGAUGAUAUGGCACUCCGGAUAGUUCUCUAUAUAGGGUAAGUUCUGCAUAUGUGUACGAAAGCACAGAUUUGUCGCGAAGCAAGUGUAUAAGCGCAUCGAUGUCCGCCAACGUCACCCACUCCAAACGUCUACUAGCGCGGGGAGGUAGAGAGGAGCCAACAGACAGAAUGCUGUGAACUCGAGUCACAAUGGAGUAGAGGCUGUGUGUUUGCAAAUACAAGAAAACGUGACUGGUCAAGUGCUUUCGUGCCAGGGUACAAGGGAAAUCUUGCGGAUGUGUAAGGGAGAAGAUGCCCCUGAGAAGGGAUGGUCAGCUCUUACUUGAAUGCGAGAUGUCCAAUUUUCCGAUCGCCGUGGAGUUGAGUAUCGCUUUUGCUCGUUCAUCAUUCACUUCAGGUGGAGGGAGAAACUCGAUGCAGCCGAGGACGGUGAAACCACCAAACUCCCUCAGUCUCAAGUGCCCACAGUUGUCACACGCCUCCGAGGCUAUGAAAGGCACUCGUUCGUCGUUCAGGAGAGGCACAACCGCAUGGCACCAAGAACAAGUCUCUUCC
This 2647-nucleotide long non-coding RNA is filed under the name Toxoplasma gondii VEG. Lineage: Eukaryota; Apicomplexa; Conoidasida; Eucoccidiorida; Sarcocystidae. The record is from RNAcentral.